GAUGAACGCUAGCGGGAGGCCUAACACAUGCAAGCCGAGCGGUAUUGUUUCUUCGGAAAUGCGAGAGCGGCGUACGGGUGCGUAACACGUGUGCAACCUGCCUUUAUCUGGGGGAUAGCCUUUCGAAAGGAAGAUUAAUACUCCAUAAUAUAUUGAACGGCAUCGUUUAAUAUUGAAAGCUCCGGCGGAUAGAGAUGGGCACGCGCAAGAUUAGCUAGUUGGUGAGGUAACGGCUCACCAAGGCGAUGAUCUUUAGGGGGCCUGAGAGGGUGAUCCCCCACACUGGUACUGAGACACGGACCAGACUCCUACGGGAGGCAGCAGUGAGGAAGAUUGGUCAAUGGGUGCAAGCCUGAACCAGCCAUCCCGCGUGAAGGACGACUGCCCUAUGGGUUGUAAACUUCUUUUGUAUAGGGAUAAACCUACCCUCGAGAGGGUAGCUGAAGGUACUAUACGAAUAAGCACCGGCUAACUCCGUG
RNAcentral lists this ribosomal RNA (479 nucleotides) under uncultured bacterium. RNAcentral describes it as "partial 16S ribosomal RNA". It matches the Rfam family "Bacterial small subunit ribosomal RNA", at positions 28 to 507 of the family's 1533-position model. The record is from RNAcentral.